Sapajus apella (tufted capuchin) is the source of this 1833-nucleotide long non-coding RNA. RefSeq lists it as uncharacterized. The transcript has 3 exons. The record is from RefSeq and is a predicted model, not a curated record. NCBI's taxonomy places the organism in Eukaryota, Metazoa, Chordata, Mammalia, Primates, Cebidae.
AACCAUAAUCCUUAGCAAAUCAACACAGGAACAGAAAACCAAACACCGCAUGCUCUCAGUGAGACCAAUUGAUUGGCAGCAAAAUGAGAACAGCCUGGAAGCAGCCCAGUGAUGAGUUAUACCCAUAGCCAUUUUUCUGUGGAAAAGGCCAAAAGGACAAAUGACAUGAUGGUUGAAAGUAUAAAGCAGCCUCCUGAUAAGCUGUUGUGAUAUUACCAUUUAUUGGGACAACUUCAUCACAGUCUGUCUGUCUGUCAGAGGAUUGACCAAACACUGACUAUCACACCUAUUUUGGUGAGUUUUUCAAUUGUUUCCCUUCCAUAAGAUGCCUUGAGUAAUUUUCAAAUUUGCAAAAAUAGAGAGGUAAGUACAAUACCCAAAGUAACCUACCAAGGUAAGUGAAAGGUAUAAAUUGAAAAACCAAUGUAAUAAACAUUAUAAACAUAAAAGGUACACUGACCUAAAUCAAAACAAGGUAGACAUUUUGUGGAUUGGAUUUCCAUCAAACUCAUUAACAACUUUCUUUAGUUUUUGUUGAAGAAAAUCAUAGAUGUACUCCUAGGGUAUUCUUAUAGUACUACUAAUGUUAUUAAAAUCUUAUGAACGUUACACCAAUUUUGGAAAAGGAGAAGUGAACAAACCUUUGUCUUUCUUAACCUCCUUAAGCUUCAGCUGACUUAUCUGCAAGAUAAAAACAAUACUGCUACCUACCUCAUGGCUUGUUUUAAGGACCGAAAGUAAUAAUGCAAAUAAACCUCCACUUGGUUUGCAUUAAUGCCUUAUAAGUUUUCUGAGCUAGUCAUGAUACUUGUUGCUAUACACACUUUAUUUCUUUUCAUUCUACAAGUGAUGUUUUGAGUAUUAUUUUGGAAUAAGAACUUUUUAUUUUUUUUUACAAGAGAAAAAGAAAGAACUGAAGGUUCUUAACUUCAUACAAUACAAAGUGGUUAAGGUUGGAAUCAUCCUAAGGUCUACAUGGCUUUCAGGCACUUGAUUUUCUUGGGAUCCAAGCCAAAUGUGUAAGCUUUAAAAUGCUUGUUUUAAGUUCAUAGAAUAUUGACUUGGUAAGUCGGCAUGAAGAAAUAAUGUUAUUGGCUUUCAUGUAUAGAAGAGCAAUUAAAAUUUAUUGUGAUUUUGAAAAUUAACUGAGCCCCAAAUGAAUGUUAGUUUUUAAAGUGAUCUUUUUGGGAGGCUGUCUUGAGUACUCCUUCCAUUGUCUAGAGUAUUUUGAGAUUGCCAACUCAAAUAGUGAUCCAGGUAAACUGGUUUGAUUAUUUGAGUCACAUCUCUUAUUUUAUUUUUAAAGAAAAUAUUGUUUUAAUCAAUUUGUUUAUCCACUAUAUUAGCUUCUGGCUCUUUCCAAACAAUAAAAUCAUCCCCCAAAAGAUCAAUACUCUUUGAUCUUAAAUGUAUUAAAAAGAAUAUAUAUAGGCUUGAAAUAUGUCUAGAUGUAUGGGUCCUAAUAUUAUUUUUAAGUAAUUACACACUUUGGAGUACAGCCACGGUGACUUAACAAUAGGAACUUUCUCUGAGAAAUGUGUCAUUAGACAAUUUCAUCAUUGUGCAAACAUCAUACACUAUACUUACACAACCUACGUGGUAUAGUACACUACAUGCCAAAGCUAUAUGGUAUCGCCUGUUGCUCCUAGGCUACAGGCCUGUAUAACAUGUUACUGUACUGAAUGCUGUCGGCAAUUGUAACACAGUAACAAGUGAGGCAGUUUCUGCUUUCUGCACAUGGCUAGCCAGCUUUCCCAACACUCCAGAUGGAUUAAAGACUUAAACAUAAGACCUAAUACCAUAAAAACCCUAGAAGAAAAUCUAGGCAAAACC